UACGGAGGGGGCUAGCGUUGUUCGGAAUUACUGGGCGUAAAGCGCACGUAGGCGGCUUUGUAAGUUAGAGGUGAAAGCCCAGGGCUCAACCCUGGAAUUGCCUUUAAGACUGCAUCGCUUGAACAUCGGAGAGGUAAGUGGAAUUCCGAGUGUAGAGGUGAAAUUCGUAGAUAUUCGGAAGGACACCAGUGGCGAAGGCGACUUACUGGACGAUUGUUGACGCUGAGGUGCGAAAGCGUGGGGAGCAAACAGG
Molecule: ribosomal RNA, 253 nt
Filed under: uncultured bacterium
Lineage: Bacteria
Description: partial 16S ribosomal RNA
Rfam family: Bacterial small subunit ribosomal RNA
Source: RNAcentral